Molecule: ribosomal RNA, 110 nt
Filed under: Mortierella sp.
Lineage: Eukaryota; Fungi; Mortierellomycota; Mortierellomycetes; Mortierellales; Mortierellaceae
Description: partial large subunit ribosomal RNA
Source: RNAcentral
CUAUGGGAUCGUUCGGGGUACAAUGCCUGGCAUUUUGCUUCGUGUCUUUUCUAUACUCGCUCAACUCAGCUCUUCCACGCUUAGGAUGUUGACUUAAUGGUUUUAAACGA